RNAcentral lists this ribosomal RNA (468 nucleotides) under uncultured bacterium. Its description in RNAcentral is "partial 16S ribosomal RNA". It matches the Rfam family "Bacterial small subunit ribosomal RNA", at positions 28 to 507 of the family's 1533-position model. The record is from RNAcentral.
GACGAACGCUGGCGGCGUGCUUAACACAUGCAAGUCGAACGGAAAGGCCCUGCUUUUGUGGGGUGCUCGAGUGGCGAACGGGUGAUUAACACGUGAGUAACCUGCCCUUGACUUUGGGAUAACUUCAGGAAACUGGGGCUAAUACCGGAUAGGAGCUCCUGCUGCAUGGUGGGGGUUGGAAUGUUUCGGCGGUUGGGGAUGGACUCGCGGCUUAUCAGCUUGUUGGUGGGGUAGUGGCUUACCAAGGCUUUGACGGGUAGCCGGCCUGAGAGGGUGACCGGCCACAUUGGGACUGAGAUACGGCCCAGACUCCUACGGGAGGCAGCAGUGGGGAAUAUUGCACAAUGGGCGGAAGCCUGAUGCAGCAACGCCGCGUGCGGGAUGACGGCCUUCGGGUUGUAAACCGCUUUCGCCUGUGACGAAGCGUGAGUGACGGUAAUGGGUAAAGAAGCACCGGCUAACUACGUG